UACAGAGGUGGCAAGCGUUGUUCGGAAUUACUGGGCGUAAAGGGCGCGUAGGUGGCCAACUAAGUCGGACGUGAAAUCCCUCAGCUUAACUGGGGAACUGCGUCCGAUACUGGAUGGCUUGAGUUUGGGAGAGGGAUGCGGAAUUCCAGGUGUAGCGGUGAAAUGCGUAGAUAUCUGGAGGAACACCGGUGGCGAAGGCGGCAUCCUGGACCAACACUGACACUGAGGAGCGAAAGCCAGGGGAGCAAACGGG
This 253-nucleotide ribosomal RNA is filed under the name uncultured bacterium. Its description in RNAcentral is "partial 16S ribosomal RNA". It matches the Rfam family "Bacterial small subunit ribosomal RNA", at positions 524 to 776 of the family's 1533-position model. The record is from RNAcentral.